Molecule: transfer RNA, 76 nt
Filed under: Candidatus Phytoplasma rubi
Lineage: Bacteria; Bacillati; Mycoplasmatota; Mollicutes; Acholeplasmatales; Acholeplasmataceae
Description: tRNA-His
Rfam family: tRNA
About the family: Transfer RNA (tRNA) molecules are approximately 80 nucleotides in length. Their secondary structure includes four short double-helical elements and three loops (D, anti-codon, and T loops).
Source: RNAcentral
GCGGUUGUGGCGAAGUGGUUAACGCCGUGGCUUGUGGCGCCGCUAUACGUGGGUUCGAUUCCCAUCAACCGCCCCA